Long non-coding RNA from Cyprinus carpio carpio, 377 nucleotides. The record is from Ensembl. Lineage: Eukaryota; Metazoa; Chordata; Actinopteri; Cypriniformes; Cyprinidae.
UCAGGAACGAAACACUGUCGUGUUGUUCAGAGACGUAAAACAGUGCUGUGGUUGUGUUUGGAUUGUUUUUGUUGUUGUUGACGAAAUAGAGCAAAAACAGCCACUAUGGUGUCAAAAAAGUAGUUCUAAAUGACAUCAUCCUUCAGGAAGUGACAUCAUCGAUUUGGAGGGAAAUCAACAGCACAAACACAAAUGAUCGACUUACCAAAAUGACCAUGAACAACAGAGGAGUUGUACUGCAGGUCAAGAUGCAGUAACCAUGUUUCAAAGAUAUUUCAUCAUGCUCAUAGCAUUCUCGCGUGGCGGCAGAUGUUCCUGUGACCUUGCUAAAGUGUGGCAUUGUUUGCACACCAUACAGAAUUUCACCUCAAGAUGGC